RNAcentral lists this ribosomal RNA (494 nucleotides) under uncultured bacterium. RNAcentral's name for it is "bacterial SSU rRNA". It matches the Rfam family "Bacterial small subunit ribosomal RNA", at positions 343 to 835 of the family's 1533-position model. The record is from RNAcentral.
GGGAGGCAGCAGUGAGGAAUAUUGGUCAAUGGGCGCGAGCCUGAACCAGCCAAGUCGCGUGAGGGAAGACGGUCCUAUGGAUUGUAAACCUCUUUUGUCGGGGAGCAAAAGACGCCACGCGUGGCGUUCCGAGAGUACCCGAAGAAAAAGCAUCGGCUAACUCCGUGCCAGCAGCCGCGGUAAUACGGAGGAUGCGAGCGUUAUCCGGAUUUAUUGGGUUUAAAGGGUGCGCAGGCGGAAGAUCAAGUCAGCGGUAAAAUUGAGAGGCUCAACCUCUUCGAGCCGUUGAAACUGGUUUUCUUGAGUGAGCGAGAAGUAUGCGGAAUGCGUGGUGUAGCGGUGAAAUGCAUAGAUAUCACGCAGAACUCCGAUUGCGAAGGCAGCAUACCGGCGCUCAACUGACGCUCAUGCACGAAAGUGUGGGUAUCGAACAGGAUUAGAUACCCUGGUAGUCCACACAGUAAACGAUGAAUACUAAUUGUUCGGGGAGAAUG